GAGAAAGUCAUAAUGGUUAUGCGGCUGGCUUGAAACCAGUCUUAGGCGGUUCGAUUCCUUCCUUUCUUG
This 69-nucleotide transfer RNA is filed under the name Lepus tibetanus pamirensis. RNAcentral's name for it is "tRNA-Ser". It matches the Rfam family "tRNA". From Rfam's summary of the family: Transfer RNA (tRNA) molecules are approximately 80 nucleotides in length. Their secondary structure includes four short double-helical elements and three loops (D, anti-codon, and T loops). Lineage: Eukaryota; Metazoa; Chordata; Mammalia; Lagomorpha; Leporidae. The record is from RNAcentral.